This 438-nucleotide ribosomal RNA is filed under the name uncultured bacterium. RNAcentral's name for it is "partial 16S ribosomal RNA". It matches the Rfam family "Bacterial small subunit ribosomal RNA", at positions 339 to 795 of the family's 1533-position model. The record is from RNAcentral.
CUACGGGAUGCUCCAGUGGGGAAUCUUGCACAAUGGAGGAAACUCUGAUGCAGCGAUGCCGCGUGAGUGAAGAAGGCCCUUGGGUUGUAAAGCUCUUUUGUCGGGAAAGAUAAUGACUGUACCCGAAGAAUAAGGUCCGGCUAACUUCGUGCCAGCAGCCGCGGUAAUACGAAGGGACCUAGCGUAAUUCGGAAUUACUGGGCGUAAAGCGCGCGUAGGCGGUAAGUAAGUUAAUUGUGAAAGCCCAAAGCUCAACUUUGGAAUUGCAAUUAAAACUACUUAGCUAGAGUUUAUCAGAGGAAAGCGGAAUACAUAGUGUAGAGGUGAAAUUCGUAGAUAUUAUGUAGAACACCAGUUGCGAAGGCGGCUUUCUGGGAUAACACUGACGCUGAGGUGCGAAAGUAUGGGUAGCGAAGAGGAUUAGAUACCCGCGUAGUC